GGGCUAUUGUGUGUAGGUUGAUGAGGAAACAUUUUUAUUUAAUCCAUUUUAGAAUAAGGCUGUAACGUAACAAAAUGUGGGAAAAAAUCCAGGGGUCCGAAUGCACUGUAGAAGUGCACUGUUACAUCUGAUUAUGUAUUGGCGCCACUGAUUGGUGCCUUAGAUUCUUAUUCUCUCUUCUCUGAUUAGAUCGUGUGGUUGCUGGGGCUAAUUCAUUUGCAUAGAUGCCGCUGAUUGGUGGCUUGGAUUCCUACAAUCUGUUUAAUUGGAUCAUGUGUAUUGCUGGUGCUUGUUCGUUGGAUGCAUUUGUUUUAGCUCGCCCGCUGUGGAUUUUAACCUUCUAUCAAUCACAUGUUCUAUUUUAUUCCCUUCAUCUUCUCUACUAUCUUACAUACUUCAGGACCCGGCUGUUGCAGUUGAUCUUCUAGGAGGUGUAGACAUUCUCAGGAGUGUCCUUUGCGAAGAGGUGUGAGGCUUUCAGGUGGACAUCAAGGCAUAGUGAGGACACAAAAUAAUUUAAGCUCAACCUACUACUGGAGUGCGAUUACUGCUGACGCCAAGAAAUGGCUCAACAGAGCUAUCUUACAGAAGUUUGGAAUCAAACACUGUGUCUCGUCUGCCUACCAUCCUCAGACAAAUGGACAAGACGAAGCAAACCGUCAAAAGGACUCUGACGAAAUACUGUGAAGACCAUCCAGAAGAAUGGGAUCUCCAUUUGAAGGGUGUUGUGUGUGCCAUCAACACCUCAUCACAGGCAUCCACAAAGCACUCUCCCUACUUUGUGCUUUUUCACCUGCACCCAAAAAUGCCAGAGGCACUGAAUGCAUGUCCCAUGGAAACGUGACACAAGGAAAGACGCCAAGAGGAGGGGGGAAUCAAAGAAGCUUGUAAGCCAUUGUAAAAGAGGUGUCUGAGAAAGGUGUUGCUACCCUGGAAAAUGAGCGAGGCAUUCAGAAGACAAAUGUCAUUGACUUGAAGCCAUACAGACGAAGGGUAUCUGCUUUCCCAAAAGUGUCAGCCCAUUCUUUGCACACUCUUGGCAUUCUCUCAACCAGCUUCAUGAGGUAGUCACCUGGAAUGAAUUUCAAUUAACAGGAAGGUCAGUCAAUCUGGAAAAUUUCAAGAACUUUGCAAGUUUCUUCAAGCGCAGUUGCAAAAACCAUCAAUAUAGCUAUGAUGAAACUGGCUCUCAUGAGGACCGCCACAGCCCUGUGUUUGUGAGACGCAGAGUAGGUGAACGGAUGAUCUCCGCAUGUGUGGUUCCCACCGUGAAGCAUGGAGGAGAAGGACAAUGACCCAACACACCUCCAGGCUGUGAAAGGGUUAUUUGACCAAGAAGGAGAGUGAUGGAGUGCUGCAUCAGAUGACCUGGCCCGACCUCAGCCCAACACGUUUCCUGAUCUUUCUUAUAUCUCUCAGAUAUUAGAGACAUUUCAGAACAAACUUCCUUUUUAUAUUUUUUGUGACUAUCUGUUGUUCAAUGCGUUCGUAUGGGCUAAUAGAAGUAAGGCCAAACAUUUUUUUUUCAUCAUCAACAAAAAAGUAUAUGAUCCUUGGUAUGACCUUCUUAAAACAAUUCCAUAAUGUUUAGUAGACCACCCCCCUGGCUUAGACAGGGAUUAGACUCUGAUGGGUUCAUAUAUUCAACAGGUAUUUGAUGUGGCAUCCAAGCAGACCAGAGUGUACGACUCAAAGGGCUCCCGCCAAGGCGUCGGGUUAGAGGAUCUGGACUGCUGAGAUUCGAGGUUCACGGCUUUGUGGUGGAGACACAAUAACUUGAUGAGCCAGCAUUGUGGCAUCUUCGUCGAUACCAUGCCUGUCUCUGGCGGAAUAUGCGUUGACAAAGAUGACAUACGACCGAACUCUCGCUCUCCACCUCGGAGUUGAUGCCCUCAUCACUGAGGAAGACAUUGAGGUCAGCUAGCCAACAAUCUCUGCCUCAUCAGAUGUACAUUAUGUUCAACUGUACUCAUCGACAGUGUCGUUUGGUCAGUAAUUUAAUUGCUCUCAACCCACUUCAUUAUAUCCUCACACAUAAUGGGUGUUUCUCAAAAUGCAUGCUAGCGUGCUCCAAGCACUCAAAUUGGAGCACUGGAGGGUCGGAGAAUAAGUCUAAAUCAAAGUAUGCGAAAUGGAGCACGGAGGGCACUUCUCGAAUGUGUACUCCGUUUGUACAUACUUUGAAGCAUGCAUCGAUGCAAGCUUCAACAGAAAGUAUGCAAAGAAAUAUGACGCAACCAAGAAAACAAUUAUGCGAAAUUUGCGGUGAAGCAAGAGAAAAUACACUCCAACUUCAGAAUUAAAUGCUGCCUAUUCACAUCUCCUAUGUUGCCUGACUACAAUAUUUUAUCUUGAUACGUUAAUAAAUACAUGCUGUGUUCAUUUUGGCAUGUUUACCUGCCUACAUACCGUAUAUCACAA
This 2421-nucleotide long non-coding RNA is filed under the name Salmo salar (Atlantic salmon). Its description in RNAcentral is "lncRNA (ENSSSAG00000086646.1)". The record is from RNAcentral. Lineage: Eukaryota; Metazoa; Chordata; Actinopteri; Salmoniformes; Salmonidae.